UUCACACUAUUUCUCAUAUCUACCCUUUCUUCCUUUGCUGGAGCUCUUGCUUGGUAUCUCUGUGUGUAUCUCUAUCUGUGUAUGUGUAUAUAAUGUUACUCAGUAUUUCAGAGUUCUUUUUUAUUUUCUUUCUAAUCCUUUCUCCCUCUUAGCUUAAUAUUAGGUAAUUCUAUUGUAUCUCCUCUGUGGAAAUUUGGUCAUUAUUCUUUCCAUCCCCAUGUUCCCAGAAAUAAGACUCAAGAUAUAUAUACAUUUUUUAAAAGAUUUAUUUAUUGAUUAUAUGUAAGUACACUGUAGCUGUCUUCAGACACUCCAGAAGAGGGAGUCAGAUCUCGUUACGGAUGGUUGUGAGCCACCAUGUGGUUGCUGGGAUUUGAACUCUGGACCUUCAGAAGAGCAGUCGGGUGCUCAUACCCACUGAGCCAUCUCAUCAGCCCUCAAAAUAUAUUUAAAAUACCUUGGCCAUAUAGCUAUAUUCUUCUCUGCUUAGAUCAUAACAUAAAAUAACACAUUUAUUUUAAUCUACAUUCUUCCUUGUAGCUGGCUACUUGUGCUCAGGUACCGUAAAUCUGUCUCAUCACAUCUUCUAGGGCAAAUCUCCUGCAUCUGGCACUAUCUCAGAAUUCUUUCUACCUCCUGGAUGUUACACAUCCAUUUCCUACUUAAGCCAUAGACCAUCAGAUAAUUAUUGACAGAUGCCAGAUCCAUAGAGACACAAGAUAUUCUCUCUUCACUCUUCUUUCAAUGAUAUCUUUAUUUUGAGAGGGUAAACCAUUCAUUUUUUGUGAUGUCAUUAUUUGCAGUUAUUAUUUUAUGUCUCAAGGUUCCACUUGUGUCUUUAAUAUCACCUGCUAUUUAAAAUAACACUUUUAUGGUGUUUAUGUUUUCCUUUAUCUUCUAAAACAUGAUUCCCACAAUUUAAAAUAGCUAUUUUACCAUUCUUGUCUACUGUCUCCGAAACCUGCUAUGUGAGUCUGCUUGUAUUGAUUGUUUUUUCCUGGUUAUAGAUCUUAUCCUUUAUUUUCUUUGUAUUUCUUAUAAAUUUGGCUGCUAGAUUUGUGUGUGUGUGUGUUCCUUUAAAUAGUGCUAGAUUGUCUUCUACUAUUAGGUUAACUAACAAUUAGUUUAAUACUUUUUUAACUUUUAAAAAAUGUAUUUGUAUGUGUGCAUGUACAUGCUUGUGUAUGUGUGUACUCAUGCCAAGGCAACUGUAUGGAAGUCAGAAGACAACCUUCAGGAGUCAGUUCUCUUCUUCCACCAUGGGCUCCAGGGAUCAAACUUAUGUUAGCAUGUUUUCUUGGCAAGCACUUUUCACUUGUUGAACUACCUUGUCAGUUUAGUCCUUUUGAGGUUUAAU
RNAcentral lists this long non-coding RNA (1357 nucleotides) under Mus musculus (house mouse). Its description in RNAcentral is "long non-coding RNA chr18:44883072-44884429". Lineage: Eukaryota; Metazoa; Chordata; Mammalia; Rodentia; Muridae. The record is from RNAcentral.